GGGAGGUAGGUGACAAUAAAUAACAAUACGGGGUUCUUAAGGAUCUCGUAAUUGGAAUGAGUACAAUUUAAAUCUCUUAACGAGGAACAAUUGGAGGGCAAGUCUGGUGCCAGCAGCCGCGGUAAUUCCAGCUCCAAUAGCGUAUAUUAAAGUUGUUGCAGUUAAAAAGCUCGUAGUUGAAUUUCGGGAUCAAUUUGUUGGUCGUGCCUCGGUACGUACUGGCAUUAUUGGUUUCUACCUUCUGAAGAACCUUGAUGUCAUUAAUUUGGUGUCUUGGGGAAUCAGGACUGUUACUUUGAAAAAAUUAGAGUGUUUAAAGCAGGCAUACGCUUGAAUACAUUAGCAUGGAAUAAUGAAAUAGGACGUUUGAUUCUAUUUUGUUGGUUUCUAGGAUCGACGUAAUGAUUAAUAGGGAUAGUUGGG
This 423-nucleotide ribosomal RNA is filed under the name uncultured Glomeraceae. RNAcentral describes it as "SSU rRNA". It matches the Rfam family "Eukaryotic small subunit ribosomal RNA", at positions 459 to 886 of the family's 1831-position model. Lineage: Eukaryota; Fungi; Glomeromycota; Glomeromycetes; Glomerales; Glomeraceae. The record is from RNAcentral.